AUUGAACGCUGGCGGCAGGCCUAACACAUGCAAGUCGAGCGGAUGAAGGGAGCUUGCUCCUGGAUUCAGCGGCGGACGGGUGAGUAAUGCCUAGGAAUCUGCCUGGUAGUGGGGGAUAACGUCCGGAAACGGGCGCUAAUACCGCAUACGUCCUGAGGGAGAAAGUGGGGGAUCUUCGGACCUCACGCUAUCAGAUGAGCCUAGGUCGGAUUAGCUAGUUGGUGGGGUAAAGGCCUACCAAGGCGACGAUCCGUAACUGGUCUGAGAGGAUGAUCAGUCACACUGGAACUGAGACACGGUCCAGACUCCUACGGGAGGCAGCAGUAGGGAAUAUUGGGCAAUGGGCGAAAGCCUGAUCCAGCCAUGCCGCGUGUGUGAAGAAGGUCUUCGGAUUGUAAAGCACUUUAAGUUGGGAGGAAGAACAGUAAGUUAAUACCUUGCUGUUUUGACGUUACCAACAGAAUAAGCACCGGCUAACUUCGUG
RNAcentral lists this ribosomal RNA (484 nucleotides) under uncultured bacterium. RNAcentral describes it as "partial 16S ribosomal RNA". It matches the Rfam family "Bacterial small subunit ribosomal RNA", at positions 30 to 507 of the family's 1533-position model. The record is from RNAcentral.